Molecule: small nuclear RNA, 18 nt
Filed under: Arabidopsis thaliana (thale cress)
Lineage: Eukaryota; Viridiplantae; Streptophyta; Magnoliopsida; Brassicales; Brassicaceae
Description: snRNA_13559
Source: RNAcentral
UGACUUGCACGAAGAAGU